UACGAAGGGGGCUAGCGUUGCCCGGAAUCACUGGGCGUAAAGCGCACGUAGGCGGAUCUUUAAGUCAGGGGUGAAAUCCCGAGGCUCAACCUCGGAACUGCCUUUGAUACUGGGGAUCUCGAGUCCGGAAGAGGUAAGUGGAACUGCGAGUGUAGAGGUGAAAUUCGUAGAUAUUCGCAAGAACACCAGUGGCGAAGGCGGCUUACUGGUCCGGAACUGACGCUGAGGUGCGAAAGCGUGGGGAGCAAACAGG
Molecule: ribosomal RNA, 253 nt
Filed under: uncultured bacterium
Lineage: Bacteria
Description: partial 16S ribosomal RNA
Rfam family: Bacterial small subunit ribosomal RNA
Source: RNAcentral